Molecule: long non-coding RNA, 672 nt
Organism: Calidris pugnax (ruff)
Lineage: Eukaryota; Metazoa; Chordata; Aves; Charadriiformes; Scolopacidae
Exons: 2
Source: RefSeq, a predicted model, not a curated record
GCGCUGCCGAUGGCCUGGGGGGGGUGUAACGGAGCCCUCAGGCCGCCCGGCCCCGGUUCCUGCCCGCCUAAACCCGGGAGCGGGGAAGGGACCGCCUUCAACGGCGUGUAACCGUCACCGGGGAAAAGGGCUAAUUGAAAGCACUUAAUUGGUAAGAAAACAAACCGGAAAGAAAAAUCAUAACGUUUCGUGCGAACGGUCGGUUCCACCGAAAGAUCCUCGGCAUCACCGUGAAGUUUAAGCCGCAGGACUGGGAACAAAAUGCUCCCGUCAGCAAGAAUUCAAAGCCGGGGAGAGGCUUCCCCGGUCCCGGGCUGCUGCGAGUCUGCGCCGGAUGCUCCAAGAGACGGGAAUUCUGCAGCCUCUGCGUUACCCUCCUGUGCAGCCCCAGUGGUCCCCCUGUAAACCGCCCGCCGAGCAACUGCGCCCUGACUCCAUCAGCAUUGUCGGGCGAAGAGAGGAGAGAAAGGAGAAAAUAGUCAGGCACCUUCUAACUGCAGUGUAACCAUCCCAAAAUUACAAAACCCGCCACCCCCCAGACCGAAAAGCAAGGCUUUAGGCAGCUUUGCAGUGUGGUGGAUGUGACAGCUCGGGGAGGGGAGGUGAAACCGGAGCAGCUCUGUGUUCGUGUGGAAACACUCACGAUCAAUAAAUAAAAUCUGUGCUCAAACA